This is a long non-coding RNA of Etheostoma spectabile (orangethroat darter), 623 nucleotides long. RefSeq lists it as uncharacterized. The record is from RefSeq and is a predicted model, not a curated record. NCBI's taxonomy places the organism in Eukaryota, Metazoa, Chordata, Actinopteri, Perciformes, Percidae. The transcript is spliced from 3 exons.
CGACCCAGAAACAUUGGCUGGAAGGACUUCACUGCCUACAGAUGGCAUCUGACCCACAGACCCAAGACUGGUCUUAUUAGAGUGGUCAUGUAUGAAGGCAAGAGAAUCAUGGCCGAUUCUGGAAACCUUUACGACAAGACCUAUGCUGGUGGGCGACUAGGCUUGUAUGUCUUCUCUCAGGAGAUGGUUUACUUCUCAGACCUCAAAUACGAAUGCAGAGAUACAUAACUGGACCAAAGAGCCUUCCGUCCAUCAGUAUGAAUAUAUAAUAUGAGAACUGGAUCGAUAUCUCUUUAACCUUUUUCUUUUGCCAACUGCACAUUGGAGGAAUGACGAGGAAGUGAGCUAACAUGAGGUAAACUGACCUCAGGACUUGAAGCCAAAUGAAAGUUUAAUGAUGACUCUGCACCACUGCACCAAACUCAAAUAGUGAGUGCAGCUCUGCUCAGAAGACAUUGGCCCUCUCACCUUGUUAUUUUAUUGCUUUGCACACUUGAACGAUUGUUGGUUGGCAGUAUUCCUCUGUGGAUGAGGGACCAAAGGGAAUAGUGUUCCAUGUUUUUUUACUUUUGAGCAUUAAUAUACAUCUGCUGUGGACUCAAAGAUGAUUGUUUCAGUAUGAA